UGUCUGCCGGUGGCUGUGGUAAAGACUGUCUGCCGGUGGCUGUGGUAAAGACUGUCUGCCGGUGGCUGUGGUAAAGACUGUCUGCCGGUGGCUGAGGUAAAGACUGUCUGCCGGUGGCUGUGGUAGAGACUGUCUGCCGGUGGCUGUGGUAGAGACUGUCUGCCGGUGGCUGUGGUAAAGACUGUCUGCCGGUGGCUGUGGUAAAGACUGUCUGCCGGUGGCUGAGGUAAAGACUGUCUGCCGGUGGCUGAGGUAAAGACUGUCUGCCGGUGGCUGUGAUAGAGACUGUCUGCCGGUGGCUGUGGUAAAGACUGUCUGCCGGUGGCUGUGGUAGAGACUGUCUGCCGGUGGCUGUGGUAAAGACUGUCUGCCGGUGGCUGUGGUAAAGACUGUCUGCCGGUGGCUGAGGUAAAGACUGUCUGCCGGUGGCUGUGGUAGAGACUGUCUGCCGGUGGCUGAGGUAAAGACUGUCUGCCGGUGGCUGUGGUAGAGACUGUCUGCCGGUGGCUGUGGUAGAGACUGUCUGCCGGUGGCUGUGGUAAAGACUGUCUGCCGGUGGCUGUGGUAAAGACUGUCUGCCGGUGGCUGUGGUAAAGACUGUCUGCCGGUGGCUGUGGUAAAGACUGUCUGCCGGUGGCUGAGGUAAAGACUGUCUGCCGGUGGCUGAGGUAAAGACAGUCUGCUAUGUCAAGAGAAGUUAACUAUAAUGGGAAUACAGCAGCGUUUGGGUGAAGUACUUUGUUCUUGUUGAGAUAAUAGCAAUAUGAAACCAGACCAGUCCAUGUCAUCCUGUUCUGGUCCACACCCCGAGUGGCCCCUUUCUGACAGUUGAAUUUAUUUAAAUACCCAUUGUGUUCUGUGGGGCACUACUUCAGGCCAGAGGACUCUGACGAGUGGCAGAGCUGGUUAAAAGUAGUCCACUAGCUACACGGUGAGUAGGAUGGUAGUUUGGGAUGCACAGCUUACUCAUCAUGCUGUUUCCUCAUUUAGAUUGCUGGAAGGAAUUGAUCAUGCACUUUAUUGUGUCAGGAACAAGAAGGAUGGUCACUGGAACACACAAACAAACCGAAGGCUUCAUGGUCAGCAGAAUGUGACCGUCUGCAUC
Long non-coding RNA from Esox lucius (northern pike), 1105 nucleotides. RefSeq lists it as uncharacterized. The transcript is spliced from 2 exons. The record is from RefSeq and is a predicted model, not a curated record. Lineage: Eukaryota; Metazoa; Chordata; Actinopteri; Esociformes; Esocidae.